This 3746-nucleotide long non-coding RNA is filed under the name Medicago truncatula (barrel medic). Its description in RNAcentral is "lncRNA gene38398". The record is from RNAcentral. Lineage: Eukaryota; Viridiplantae; Streptophyta; Magnoliopsida; Fabales; Fabaceae.
CUUUGUAACAUACACUUGAGUGUAUUUUUAGUAAGAAUUCUUGUUCCAUUUUAGAGAGUAUUUUAGGAGAUAUUGAGAGAAAAUUUUGUCAUUUGUCCUCAUCACUAUAAGAAGACUUGUUGUACUCUUUUCUUUUAUAUAGUGGAACUUUGCUCUCAAUCGCCCGUGGUUUUUUACUUCUCAUAUUUAGGAGUUUUCCAUGUAAAUCUUGUGUGUUAUUUCUCUUGUUAUUUUACUUACUUCUCUUUAAUUCUCAAUUUCAUUGAUCCUGUGCUUCCGCAUUGCGCUGAUACCUUAACACUUAAUGUGAAAUUAAAAAAAAUAAAAUUAAUGGUGGAUAUGGCUAACCUUAUUAGACACAAUGGUGAUUGACCUGAGUGCUUUUUUUACUAGAACUUUAUGAGUUGUUAUUGGUAUUUUUGUUGAUAUGCUUUAAAUUUAAGAGUAAUAAUUUUAUGGUGAAAGGUGUUACAAAAUAUUCCUUCUAUUUCUAAACUUUUCAUAUUAUUUUAUGCCAUUAUAAUAACAAUAUCACAACAGUACCAAACUGAAGACAGAAUACCAAACAAAUGGAUUCACAUAACACUGACCACAUUUAUUUUAACAAAUCUUCCUCUUGAUAAUCUAUAAGACAAUCUAUAAGACAAAUCUUUUCAGGUUAGUUUCUCUACUGCAACUCACCGUACCAAAGGUAUUCUUGAUUAUAUUUAUUCUGACCUAUGGUGGCCUUCAAAAGUUACUUCCUAUGGAGGACGCCGCUAUAUGAUGACUAUUAUUGAUGAUUUUUCUCGUAAGGUUUGGGUUUAUUUUUUGCAGCAUAAAAAUGAGACUUUUCCACAUUCAAGAAGUGGAAAAUUCUUGUUGAAACUCAGACAGGGAAAAAUGUGAAGAAGCUCAGAACAUAUAAUGGAUUAGAGUUCUGCAGUGGUGACUUUAACGAGUUCUGCUGAAAUCAUGGUAUUGCUAGACACAAAACCAUCCCGAGGAAUCCCCAGCAAAACGGUGUUGCAAAACGAAUGAACAGAACUCUACUUGAGAGAACUCGGUGUAUGCUCUCAAAUGCUGGGUUAUGGCAUCGACGUGAUCUUUGGGCCGAGGCAGCAUCUACUGCAUGUUACUUGGUCAACCGUUCUCCACAUUCGGCACUUGACUUCAAAGUUCCAGAAGAGAUUUGGUCAGGUAAUCCACAUUCGGCACAUGUCAAUGAUGGAAAAUUAGCUCCACGAGCCGUUGAGUGCAUAUUUCUUGAUUAUGCAUCUGAGUCUAAGGGGUAUCGUUUGUGGUGCUCUGAUCCAAAAUCACAAAAAUUAAUUCUUAGUAGAGAUGUGACUUUUAAUGAGGAUGCAUUAUUAUCUUCUAGAAAACAGUCUUUUGUGUCUUCUUCUACUAGUACAGGUAAUCUGCAGAGUACUAGCGAGAAGGUGGAGUUUGUAUUAAAACCUGCAGCUCCUUACGUUGAUGUCCCAUCUUCCUCUACAAAUGAAUUUAACAUUGAUAACCAUCCUGAUGAUGAUGAUCGUGAUGAUAGUACCACUCCUCCUAUUCAGCAACAAGGAGAUUAUUACUCUAUUGCCCGAGACAGAGUUAGAAGACAAAUCAGAAAGCUAGUCAGAUACACUGAUAAUGACAAUUUAGUUGCUUAUGCACUGUCUAUUGCACAAGAAAUUGAGAGUCUUCAUAAAAAUGGUACUUAGGCUUUGACAGAGCUUCCUAAAGGCAAACGACCAUUAAGGUGUAAAUGGAUCUAUAAGAAGAAAGAAGGCAUUCCCGGGGUUGAAAAUCCAAGAUGCAAAGCACGACUAGUCGUUAAAGGCUUUAAUCAAAAGGAAGGUAUUGACUUUAAUGAGAUAUUCUCACCUGUUGUUCGUCAUACUUCCAUUCGUGUUUUACUUGCAUUUGUUGCUUUGUUUGAUUUGGAGUUGGAGCAACUUGAUGUUAAGACAGCUUUCCUACAUGGAGAGCUGGAAGAAGAAAUUUACAUGGAACAAUCUGAUGGAUUUAUUGCUCCUGGAAAGGAGCAUCUUGUCUGUCGUUUGAAGAAAUCUUUAUAUGGUCUUAAGCAAGCUCCGAGGCAGUGGUACAAAAGGUUUCACUCUUUCAUGAUUGGGCAAAAUUAUUGCAAAAGUCAAUAUGAUGAUUGCAUUUAUUUUCAAAAUUUUCAAAAUGGAUCUUUCAUAUACUUGUUACUUUAUGUUGAUGAUAUGUUAAUUGCAUCACGUGACAAGUCUUUAAUCAAGAAAUUGAAAACUGAACUCAGUAAUGAGUUUGAUAUGAAAGAAUUAGGUGCAGCAAAGAAAAUUCUUGGUAUGGAGAUUCGCAGAGACCGUCAAGCUGGUAAACUAUUUUUAUCUCAACAAAAGUAUAUUAAAAGAGUGCUUGAUAGGUUUAAUAUGAAUAAUUGUAAACCUGUUUCUACUCCACUUGCUGCGCAUUUCAAGUUAUCUUCAGAAUUUUGCCCAAAUACAAAGGAAGAGAUGGAGCAUAUGUCAUAUGUUUCCUUAUGCAUGUCAUAUAUGCACUAGACCAGAUCUAGCAUAUGUUGUUAGCAUAGUAAGCCGGUAUAUGCAUAAUCCUGGCAAAAGUCACUGGAGUGCUGUAAAAUGGAUUUUUCGGUAUCUAAAAGGUACUUCCGGUAUUGGCUUGGUAUUUGACAGAAAAAUGGCUACAACCAAUGAUGUUGCAGGUUAUGUUGACUCGGAUUAUGGUGGUGAUCUUGAUCGAAGAAGAUCUCUUUCUGGUUACAUCUUUACUCUCUGUAAUAGUGCUAUCAGCUGGAAAGCUACACUUCAAUCUAUUACUGCAUUGUCUACAAUUGAAGCAGAAUAUAUUUCAGCAACAGAGGGUGUUAAAGAAGCUAUUUGGCUUUGAGGUUUGGUCAAUGAACUUGGUCUUACACAGGGUGUUCUUACUGUGUUUUGUGACAGCCAAAGUGCUAUUCAUUUGACCAAGAAUAAUCCUUAUCACGACAAGACCAAACAUAUUGAUGUAAGGCGUCACUUUAUCCGAGAUAUUGUUGUUGCUGGUGAAAUUGCAGUUGAAAAGAUUCACACUUCUAAGAAUCCAGCAGAUAUGCUUUACCAAGCCACUUCCAAAUACCAAGUUUCAGCAUUGUCUGGACUUGGUUGGUCUCUACAACACUUAAGUGCCCUUCGGGGCUUUAUUUGGCGAUGAGCACUUGAUGAAUUCGAAACAAGGUGGAGAUUGUUGGAUUAUGUGGCUCUCAUUCAAUUACUUCAUCUAUAAGCUACUUGUAGUCAAGUCCUUAAUUGUGAAGUUUCCUUUUGUGUCUUUACGGCUCCUUAUCCCUUAGUGGUUAAGGUUUGUCUCCAAGCUUUACAUGUCAUAUAUGUUGCAUGCUUCACACCUCAUAGUUGCUUGCAUAUGCUUUACACCUCCUACUUGCUUGCAUAUGCUACUUGCUUGUCAUGUGCUACUUUGCUUCACCAUUAAGAAUUGUGGAAUGGAGGCUAUAUAUACAGCAGUCACAUGUCGUGAAUGGACAUUACAAAACCAAUUACAAACACACUUUGUAACAUACACUUGAGUGUAUUUUUAGUGAGAAUUCUUGUUCCAUUUUCGAGAGUAUUUUAGGAGAUAUUGAGAGAAAAUUUUGUCCUUUGUCCUCAUCACUAUAAGAGGACUUGUUGUACUCUUUUCUUUUACAUAGUGGAACUUUGCUCUCGAUCGCCCGUGGUUUUUUACUUCUCAUAUUGAGGAGUUUUCCACGUAAAUCUUGUGUGUUAUUU